Molecule: non-coding RNA, 89 nt
Filed under: bovine gut metagenome
Description: TPP riboswitch (THI element)
Rfam family: TPP riboswitch aptamer (THI element) (bases 4-83)
About the family: Vitamin B(1) in its active form thiamin pyrophosphate (TPP) is an essential coenzyme that is synthesised by coupling of pyrimidine and thiazole moieties in bacteria. The previously detected thiamin-regulatory element, thi box was extended, resulting in a new, highly conserved RNA secondary structure, the THI element, which is widely distributed in eubacteria and also occurs in some archaea. Analysis of operon structures identified a large number of new candidate thiamin-regulated genes, mostly transporters, in various prokaryotic organisms.
Source: RNAcentral
CAGCAGGGGAGCUUGUGUGGCAGGCUGAGAGGAAGCAAAAGCUUCGACCCUUUACCUGAUCCGGGUAAUGCCGGCGGAGGGAGAGGAUU